This 81-nucleotide non-coding RNA is filed under the name Bacillus sp. (in: firmicutes). RNAcentral's name for it is "Bacillus sp. Glycine sequence". It matches the Rfam family "Glycine riboswitch aptamer". Rfam says of the family: This family represents the bacterial glycine riboswitch. Lineage: Bacteria; Bacillati; Bacillota; Bacilli; Caryophanales; Bacillaceae. RNAcentral also lists the same sequence under 1 other name. The record is from RNAcentral.
GGAGCAGCUUCUGGAGAGAACGCAAGAAUUUUGCGGCGCCGAAGGGUUCACAAUCUCAGGCAAAAGGACAGAAGAGUACUG